CAUUACUGAGUGAGGGCCCCUCGGGGUCCAACCUCCCACCCGUGUUUAACGAACCUUGUUGCUUCGGCGGGCCCGCCUCACGGCCGCCGGGGGGCAUCCGCCCCCGGGCCCGCGCCCGCCGAAGCCACCUGUGAACGCUGUCUGAAGUAUGCAGUCUGAGACAAUUAUUAAAUUAAUUAAAACUUUCAACAACGGAUCUCUUGGUUCCGGCAUCGAUGAAGAACGCAGCGAAAUGCGAUAACUAAUGUGAAUUGCAGAAUUCAGUGAAUCAUCGAGUCUUUGAACGCACAUUGCGCCCUCUGGUAUUCCGGAGGGCAUGCCUGUCCGAGCGUCAUUGCUGCCCUCCAGCCCGGCUGGUGUGUUGGGCCCCGCCCCCCUUCCCGGGGGGGCGGGCCCGAAAGGCAGCGGCGGCACCGCGUCCGGUCCUCGAGCGUAUGGGGCUUUGUCACCCGCUCUUGUAGGCCCGGCCGGCGUCAGCCGACCCCCUCAAUCUAUUUUUUCAGGUUGACCUCGGAUCAGGUAGGGAUACCCGCUGAACUUAAGCAUAUCAAUAAGCGGAGGAAAAGAAACCAACCGGGAUUGCCCUAGUAACGGCGAGUGAAGCGGCAAGAGCUCAAAUUUGAAAGCUGGCCCCCUCGGGGUCCGCAUUGUAAUUUGCAGAGGAUGCUUCGGGAGCGGUCCCCAUCUAAGUGCCCUGGAACGGGCCGUCAUAGAGGGUGAGAAUCCCGUAUGGGAUGGGGUGCCCGC
This 747-nucleotide ribosomal RNA is filed under the name fungal sp. Its description in RNAcentral is "eukaryotic LSU rRNA". The stretch from base 506 to 747 matches the Rfam family "Eukaryotic large subunit ribosomal RNA", at positions 1 to 239 of the family's 3401-position model. The record is from RNAcentral. Lineage: Eukaryota; Fungi.